UUUUUUCUUGUUCUGAUGUGGAGACUGCAUUUCAGCAAGAUUGUAUACUAAUUAACCAGCUUGAUGGUAAUGUUCCCAAACUGUUAAAAGAGUUAGGAACAGAGUCUUUCCGCCCAGCCUUGUCCUCGUCUAUAAUUGAUGGUAUACAACAAAUUGCCCAGAUUGAUGGUACCGUUCCAUUUGUGCUCGCAGAGUUAACAAUAGAGUCUCCUCGCCCAGGCUCGUCCUCUUCUGGAAUGGAGGGUGUACAAGAAUUUGGCCAGCUUGAUGGUAAUGUUCCCAAACUGUUAAAAGAGUUAGGAACAGAGUCUCUCCGCCCAGCCUUGUCCUCGUCUGGAAUGGAUGGUUUACAACAAAUUGCCCAGACUAAGAACAGAGCUAGGGUUAGGAGUGAUUCGUAUGGAUCAGAUACAUCCUUAGAAUCAGACG
Molecule: long non-coding RNA, 429 nt
Organism: Eurytemora carolleeae
Lineage: Eukaryota; Metazoa; Arthropoda; Copepoda; Calanoida; Temoridae
Exons: 5
Source: RefSeq, a predicted model, not a curated record